Long non-coding RNA from Leopardus geoffroyi (Geoffroy's cat), 339 nucleotides. RefSeq lists it as uncharacterized. Lineage: Eukaryota; Metazoa; Chordata; Mammalia; Carnivora; Felidae. The transcript is spliced from 2 exons. The record is from RefSeq and is a predicted model, not a curated record.
ACCGGCACUUGAACAGAGGAAGAAUUUCUCCACCCAAAAGGCUGCCUCUGGUCCCUUUGGAAAACACUGAAGUAAAGAACGGGGCGUCUUUCCAACGCAGGGAGACAAAGUGGGACGAAUCCGUUAGAGACGACACGACACACACCACGAGGCUCACGUGGCUCCGAUGCCGUGGCGGCCGUGUAAGUGAACCCCAGUGUCAGCCCGUCGGUGCCUCCUCACUUUGCUGCUGCUCUGGUCCGCGGCCCUCCUCAGCUGCUGGGGGCCUUCCUGGCUGCCUCCGUCCUCACGCCGCCCGAGUCAACCCAGUUGUGCUUCAGUAAAGUCUUAAAAUGUUUA